RNAcentral lists this long non-coding RNA (5168 nucleotides) under Nicotiana benthamiana. RNAcentral describes it as "long non-coding RNA (NBEN_LNC013728)". The record is from RNAcentral. Lineage: Eukaryota; Viridiplantae; Streptophyta; Magnoliopsida; Solanales; Solanaceae.
AACGCUCUCAAACACCCUCACAAACCCUAAUCGUCGCCUACCCUUUUCGACCUCAAAUCCACCAGAAUCCAUGGUCGCUCUAGCCAUAGACGACCUACACUCACCCCCUACUGCUCUCACACUCCUUCUUCCUGAAGAUUCGAGGCCAGUCUUCGAGGGUCUUCACAUUUCCGGCCUUGCUUCGGCUUAUCAUAGCCUACUGAGCCUGGUUCCGACCUUGUCGACUCAGAUCUGAUCUCGUGACUUCCAACCCUUUCUCAUUCUUUAUGGUUCUCAGGAACCCUAGCUUAUUCGAGGUCUUUUUCAUUUUAUUCAUUUAGAUCUGUGCUAGAUCUAUGACGUGUGUGACUUUUUAGAGCUUUUCCCCAAAUUCCCUUUUUUCAAAGCUGUUCAAAUUUGAUUUUAGGGUUUCUAAAAUGUCUCCUAAAAGUUUUCUGACUCUUUUGCCCUCUCUUAUGUGUAUGCUCGUGUUUUAUUUCAUAUUAUGUUCAAGUCUAUUCUCUUAUUUCUUGCCUGAUUUUUGCAGAGAUUCUUUUUUGUUCUUUGUUCACAUGCUAACCUAGGUUGUUGAUCCUCACUCUUUGCUAUAUGUGUGCAAGUUCAUGCUUUGUUUUAUCCCUAAGUUUUAUUGAUCAUUUUCUUGCCUACCUUUUUUCUUAAAACUCGUAGUUUCUCUUGCUUCUGUUUGAGUAAGUGUGCCUAUCUCCGUGACUUUGAAUGACUUCUUAUGUCUGAUUCUAUGUGAAACCCUAAACUUUGGGGGUUUUCCUUUGGGUUGAUGGCACUAGGGUUUCACUCUAAAAUCCUAAGUUUACAGACUCACGAUGAGCCUGUAAUAGAACUCAAAAUCUUAUUCACCUAUGACUCUAAAAUUUUCAUUAUGAGACUCUUCUUUGGUUUGAACUGUAUGAUUUAUAUAUUAGAAAAAAUUCCCUUUUAAAGAUUUAUUUUGAAAUCCCUUUAAUCAUGCUAGUGAUUCAGCACUGAUUUCUUUCGAGUUGAUUCCCUUUUCCCUACUGGUUGUUUAUUUUGAUCUUUAUGUAAAAAUUCCAGACUUAUGAUUUUUUACUUAAAUAAUUGGUCUUGUAUAUAAUUUAUUAUUUUGUACCAACGUUUGAGUUAUUUAUUUCCUUUGGUUACUUUAGGUUAUUUGUGAUUUGAUAUUGGAUCCGAGAUCCUUUGGCUGAUUUUCAAACUGAUACCUUAUUUUUCACACUAUUAUUCCAUCUUUCCUUAAUUACCAACUCUGUACUUGACCUUAUUUGUACACUAUGUGGUUUCCUUACUUAAUCAAGCCUUAGAAAACUGAUUUUCCCUCCUUGUUCCUUCUUGAUUAGCCGUUUUACCUAGACCCCUUAAUUAAAGGAGUCUAGUUGUCUUAAUUGAAACUAAUUGAUUGGUUUUAUAUGUUUGUGCACUCUUUGCCUACCUUACCAGUUCUAGACUACUUCUAUUUUCUUUCCAGAAUACCUUUAUGUUUUUCUCAAAAACUUUUGAGUCUUCUGCUGAAGUCUUAAGUUGAUCUUUCUCUGUUUGUGGUUGCGAGUGCUCUGCUUUUUUCUUUCUUUUUAGUUUGCAACUGGUAUGUCUAUCCUAGCUUAAAUACUGGCCAUCUCUUAUGUGUUUAUUUUUCAGCUCUGUUGUACUUCUUUCUUAAUGCUUUAUGAAUUUUAUCAUUCUUGUUCUUAUGUGAAUCCCCUUUCCCCUACCCAUUUUAUCUGUUGAGUUGUGGUUCAUAGAGCAUGACAAUACCCAAACAUUGUUGUUCAUACAUAUGGACUGGAUUCCUGAAAUCCUAAACUAUAUCAAUUCCCACUCUCUUUUCCCCUUAUGUGUGCUUUGAGCCUAAGACCUUAGCCUGGCAAUGUCCUAAUCAUUGUCCAGACCUGGUCUGACCUUCAAUGGCGCUGCUCUUAAUUUGUUUGACAAAAUAGGUUGGUCAGGGGUGUGCCAGCCUAUUUUGUGGCUAGGCAUGACAACCACUUGUUAUGGCUCCUCAACCCCUUCUGCACUUACACUUAUUCAUAGUGAUUAAGUUAUGCCCCUCUCUUACAAGCCUUGCCUUGGGACCCUUAAUCUCCCUUUGAACUUGGACGCUUGAGAGCUGGCUCUUCCAUACUGCACUGUUUCUAUUCUAAUGGUUUCUUGGGUGCAAGCAAUGCCGGGAAUCCCUGAGAUUCCUUGGAACUUUGAAACACCCUAGGUAAAGAGAAGGCUUUGAACUUUGGAUCCCAGUGGUUCAAACGCAAAUUAUGAGACAUUAAGUCUGAAUUAGGCUGCUCGGAUCUAGUUAUUAGCUUCUGAUGUAUUUUUCUCUAUUUUUCUGAUUUGUAAUAACUUGUCUAAACUCGAAGAAUAUUGUAAAUGGGGGGUUUCUUUACUUUCAUGCAUUGAAGGGUAGAAAUCAUGAUCCUAGGAUUUUACUGUUUAAUCACCCAGAAAUCAUGCUCUUAGGAUCUUUGUUGUCUUUACUGUUAAUUUAAUCACAUAGAAAUCAUGCCUAUCGGGCCUAACGCUUACUUUUUGCAAUCAUGCAUAUAGAAAUCCUGUCUAUAGGAGUUAAGUUCUGCAAUCUGUGCAUAUAGAAGCCAUGCCUAUAGGGGUCUGCAUUUCUCUAUAGCAUUAGGAAUACCAUUAGGUAUUUAUAAGAAAUCAGCAUCUGUUCUUGAUUCUAUUAGCAUGUUUUAAAAUCAGCGACUCAUAGAAAUCAUGCCUAUAGGAGCUUUUAAAUUAAACUCGCCUCGCUUGUCUAAAAGCAGUAACAAUCGAUUAAUUAAUUGGUUCCUUCACGCCCAGAUCCAUAUACUGUUUCUAAAACUUAAUAUUUUGAUAAACUUUCUCAAGUCAGUGUAUACUUUUCCUAAAACCUAAUUCUUUAACUUGAAUAUUUUAUUGAAACCAUCUUUCGAAUAAUCUGACAAAAGAUGUGUUUUCCUACUCAGUUCCUUUCUUUUGAACUUGUCAUCUUUAAAUGAGUUUUGCAAUUCACUCAUUUUCUUUAAAUAAACCUGCCUCCUCUAAAACAUUUAAAAUUACCUUUUCUAUGUUUAAUUAAAACUAGGCAGUCUGCUCUAAACCACUUUCUAAGUCUGCAUCAUACUUUUUCUCAAAACCUUAUAUAGCAGCUAUUUUUUGAUGUCAAUAUUCUUAAUCAAUUAGCAUUAAUAAAGUGCCUUAAUCUCUGAAAAUUGUAUCUGAGUGGCCUAAUGUACACUUUCUGUCUAAAUAUAUGUGUUGAACCAGUCCGCUUACUGCUUAAUCUAAUUUAAAAGACCAAACCAGUGUUUGCAAAGACAUGCUAAACUAUGUGACUAUCUGAUUUUAGGGGUUUAUUUGAGCUUAUUUACUUGCUUGCUCCUCCCUUUAUUUGAUACAUGCUUUGAAUGUCAAACUAGAAUUUUAUCCUUAAACUUCAUAAAGGCCCCCAUCCCUUCCUCCCCUUUUAGGAUUAGAAGUCCUAGUACUCUGAGACUAAUAGGAUCGGGACGGGUAUUAGUAUGCAAUAAGUAAAUGAUACUAAACGCGCUUUAAUGCCUUAACGGGAUGGGAAUGGUAGAUAUGAUGAUCGGUGCAUUAAUAUCACGUGCGACCCCUAUUCGAGGAGUGUACGCCGGAUAUUGUAUUGAUGUGAUCCAUAUUAUGUAUAAACAUAGGACCCCCUUUCCUCUUUACUUAAAAUGUUUCUUUUUGUUUCUUUUAAUUAACCUUUUUCUAACACUUCCUAUUUCCUUUCUUUUUAAAACUUUCUAACUUGUUUGCAACAAUUAUAUGAAAUUCUUAUUUUCUUCUUCUAUCUUCUAAUGUCACAAUUGUAGUAUGGCCGAGAACCACACUAGUGGAACUUGAGGGGUACCUAACAACUUUCCCUCGAGAUAAUCUCAAGCCCUUACCCAAACUUUUGUUCUUCUUCUCAAAUCCUUUCUUUAAAAGUGUCCUAAUGCAUAUCAUUAGGUGUCGUCUCUCCAAAUUCCAAAACCCAAUUCUCACAAGGGAAUAAGAGUUUUCCUUCCAUAAUGUCGUAUACCCGAUUUCAAACUUCCGUUCAUUAGAAAAAGGGGGCAUCGGCAGCAUGAUGACUCUGCUGGGGAUUUCUUUAGGCUUUUACAAUUAAAUACUAUUUUUGACUUUAUUAAUUGCCUUUAUUUCCUGAUUUUUAUUAUUUCAUCAUGAAACUAAUUUGGCUGUUCAUACCUUUUCUUUCCUUUAACUGCUUUCUUUACUGCUUUAUUAUUUCAAUAUUGUUGUAAUUUCGAGCAUUAUAAUCAUUUAUCUUAUGUACGUGAAAAUAUAUGUCAAUUUGUUUCAUUCUUGUAAAUUGCAUCUUAAACAUCAUACUCCACUCGUGCCAAAACAAAUACUAUAGAAACCUGAUAAUGAGUGGAUGCGCUCUUCCAACAUUAUUACCCCCUAAAUUUGCAAAGGCAUAUUUGUGGUAAAUAAGUUGAUUAACGGUGUAGUCGACGGUUCCGUACCUUUUCCCCUUGAGUUGUCCGCUCAAGGGUACCAGCCUAAUACUUCAAAUGGAAACCUUUCUCUAUUUAACUGUUCAUGCAUCAUGGUCAAACCUAGUCGAUUCAAUUAUGUUUUCCGCAUAAUGACUCAAUAAGAUAGCCUAGUCCAAAUUCCAUCAGGUUUCCCUGAAACCUAAACGGAUACCACCAUGUUCUGUGCAUUUAUUUGGAGAACUAAAUGCCUAUCAUGCUAAUUGUUGAUUUAAAUAGUCGAGUCCUGUGGGGUAACCAACAUCCACCCAAGGUUGCUAAGCUGGUGGGAGGACCUUCAUGCUAAUGAUCGGACUUUUGUCAGCAAAUACUUAGAAAAUUUACCUUCACUUCUCAAAAUCCAGCCCGACAACAAAAAUAAUUGAGGUUGUAACUUUGUUAAGGGAUAGUGAUCCGUGAAUGUUUCUCUUUGGGGACCUUGAAAUGACCUCUUUACAUGAAGAAAUUGAGGUCUAGCUAGUAUUCCUUGGGAGACUCCGGGUCUACUUAUGCCGGAAAAUCAAAAAAGGUAGGGGCUUCCAAAUGAUGGGACUAAAAAAAACCUGAACUUGACUUACUUGAAAGAUUCCUAAAUCCCAUUCGACUACUUGUACGAGAGGUAUAGCCAUAGCAAGUCAUAGUAGGGGUCUAAUAUUUUGUUUUGCAGAAAAUGAGGCAUGAAGUCCC